This 390-nucleotide ribosomal RNA is filed under the name Vibrio anguillarum. RNAcentral describes it as "bacterial SSU rRNA". It matches the Rfam family "Bacterial small subunit ribosomal RNA", at positions 47 to 433 of the family's 1533-position model. The record is from RNAcentral. Lineage: Bacteria; Pseudomonadati; Pseudomonadota; Gammaproteobacteria; Vibrionales; Vibrionaceae.
CCUAACACAUGCAAGUCGAGCGGCAGCACAGAGGAACUUGUUCCUUGGGUGGCGAGCGGCGGACGGGUGAGUAAUGCCUAGGAAAUUGCCCUGAUGUGGGGGAUAACCAUUGGAAACGAUGGCUAAUACCGCAUGAUGCCUACGGGCCAAAGAGGGGGACCUUCGGGCCUCUCGCGUCAGGAUAUGCCUAGGUGGGAUUAGCUAGUUGGUGAGGUAAUGGCUCACCAAGGCGACGAUCCCUAGCUGGUCUGAGAGGAUGAUCAGCCACACUGGAACUGAGACACGGUCCAGACUCCUACGGGAGGCAGCAGUGGGGAAUAUUGCACAAUGGGCGCAAGCCUGAUGCAGCCAUGCCGCGUGUAUGAAGAAGGCCUUCGGGUUGUAAAGUAC